RNAcentral lists this ribosomal RNA (156 nucleotides) under uncultured bacterium. RNAcentral describes it as "partial 16S ribosomal RNA". It matches the Rfam family "Bacterial small subunit ribosomal RNA", at positions 355 to 508 of the family's 1533-position model. The record is from RNAcentral.
UGAGGAAUAUUGGUCAAUGGACGCAAGUCUGAACCAGCCAUGCCGCGUGAAGGAUGAAGGCGUUCUGCGUUGUAAACUUCUUUUAUCUGGGAAGAAACCACCUUUUUCUAAGGGUGUUGACGGUACCAGAGGAAUAAGCACCGGCUAACUCCGUGC